Molecule: long non-coding RNA, 1245 nt
Filed under: Crocodylus porosus (Australian saltwater crocodile)
Lineage: Eukaryota; Metazoa; Chordata; Crocodylia; Crocodylidae
Description: lncRNA (ENSCPRG00005018491.1)
Source: RNAcentral
UAAUGAGCUUCCACAGCUUUAUUGCUUCUGGACCAACCAGAAGAGCCUUGGAUGUGUUGUUCCAACAAUCCCAUUGAUACGGGAUUCGAGGACAGCACCAUCACGUAGUAUUUCAGCACUGUUGCCUGUGGUCCAGGCUAGAAACGAGAAAGGACUAAAAACGUGAAGAUAUGUAGCUGCCUUUUCCUCAUCGAAGAUCUCCAGAGUUGUUGAAGUUUGGGGUUGGUUCAAAUUGUGGGCAAAACUUCAGGUCUUUUUUAUUUUAUUUUAUUUUUUAACUUUUUUUAACCUGAAACACAGCUCGCCUGUUCCUGAAAUCACAGUUUUUCAUUGGCUCCUUCCAGAAACUUGGCAUGCUUGAGACAGGCUACAAAAAGCUUUUUGUUUCCAUAUUUAGGUUUCUUAUUUUCUUUACAGGUCGGGGGAGGGUACCUGGAGGUCAGAGGACUUUCGGAGGUUAUGAUGGUGGUCUGGCCCUGAGAAUAUGGCUCGCAUGCAGCCAGGAUGAAGUGGCCUGUGUUUCACAUGCUCUGUCUCUCCAUCUGAGCAUCUUCCCUGCACAAUCCACUGUCAUAAGGGGACACCCAAGGCACGUGGUGACCAACCUGGGGUGCAGUACUCUUUACCUUGCUCCUCCCUGCCGGAGAUCCGCAGCCCUGCUCCUCGGACUUCUUCCACCAACCUGCAUAUUCAACUUGCACCAGCCGCUCAGUAUAAAGUCCCUUGGCUGCUGCAAAAUCUUUGACCUAAGCCACCAGAGCUGGAGCUGGGACCUGAGAAAGUCUACCUGCCUGACAUCAGUGAUGUUCCAUGAGGUCAGCAUGGCAUGUCUGUGACAUCACGGCAGGUCAGGACAAGUUGACUUGUAUGGAGCAGAUGUGAAUACAUUUGAAUUAAAAUAUCUGAAUCACUGAAUGCCCGUUUUCUGCAAAAUGCUACCCCAUUAAUCUUUCUGGCAGCAAGAGAGAGACCCACCUUGGAAGUGUCUCCUUAUACGAUGCUGAGGCUGUAAAGACCAGAAGCUAAGUGACAGGCAGAGGGUGGAAGGAAACUGUUCUGAGUUUGUUCAGAAAACCUCUCUUUGCAAACUCUGCUUGCAGCAAAAGGGGCGAUGGAUGCGGCAAUCACCAGGUCAAGGAUGGGUGGUGUUUGUUCCUGCCAGUCAAGGGAUCCACCCAUUCGUGGUGAGCAGGUGGAAGUCCAGCAAAUUAAGGAAAAUAAAUGUCUCCCCAUCCACUAGGACCA